AGGGUGUACAAAAAUAGUGCUGUUUCGACAAAACAAAAAGACUCAGGUAUUCUCAUAUUUCUUUUCUGAGCCUAGAUUUGAGCGGGGCCAUUCUAUCUGAUUGUAAUUCCUGUAGGUAAGCAGAUGGUCAGGCAGCAUACCAAGAAUUAUAAUAAUCUAUGUGGGAUGUUCCUAAGACAUGAGUUAAUGCUUUCAAACCCAUAAAGCUUGGGAUUUUAUGGAGAUGAACCACAUUAUAGACCCGCAUGCAAGCAUGUGCUCAUCAGAAUUACUUCAGCUGAAUCAACAGCUCAGCUCAUUUGCACCUCCUGACCUUCUGGAACUGACCUGUGAGAUGCAUCCUCAAACCAAUUUCUUCCCUCCAAGGACUGAAAUUAGAUAUAGAAAGAUACACAUGACUAGCAGUGGUAAUAUGCAUUCUCGAGUUCAGAUUUCUUGAGCUAAAACAAAUAUGAGAGACAAGGUAAACCGCAAUGCCCAAAGCAAGAGAUUUUACAUCGUAACCCACUGCCUCCGUGAGAUUUCAAGGAGCACUACUGGAGAUGACUAGGAAAGAGAUGGGCGGGAGAAGGGAUGGAAAAACUUACAGUAGUAAACCGAUCUGCACAGAUUAUACACAAUUAAUUGAAAACCAACUUUGGUGAAGCGAACGAAAGGCGGGGCUUGGAAUCCUAAACUAAGCGUUAAUCAUGGUUCAGACACUUACUAGUCAGUGGCCUUAAGAGGUUAUUUAAGCUCUUUCUGCCUCAGUGUUCUCAUCCUUAAAAUGGGAAUGAUAAUACCUGCCCCUUAGCAUAGUUGUGAAAUAAUCUGUAUAAAGUACCUGGUACACAGCACACAGUCAAUUAGUGUAUUUUACAUUUCUUUCUCCUUAUAUGUUUCUUUUUAGUAAUAAUAACAAGAUUUUAAAAUCUCACUGUUUUCAAAGCUCUUCUACAUAGGUUUUCUUAGCUGAUCUCACAGCACUAUCUGAUAUAAACAUUAGCUCUUUUUCACAUAAGAGAACACAGAGGCUCAUUCUAGAACCCACACUAGAUUCUGGUCACCAGGGCUACCUCUCAUCCUGUGCUAAUCCCAUUAGACUGAAUAUUGGAAUAGCUGGUUCAUAUGGAAACACAGCUAAAAAUAGUGAGCAGACUCUAAGAUCACCAUAUAACGAUCUAGGGGACUCUUGAUUUGGGCUCAGGUCAUAAUCUCAGGAUCAUGGGAUCAUGUGACGGGAUCAAGCCCCGGAGCUCUUUCCAGAGGACCCAACUAAAGACACUUGGUUACAGCAAUGGUUUCCGGGAAGUAGACUCUGAUAUGGGAUUUUGGAGCUAGAUUGCCCACUGGCCAGCUGGCAAUGAGGACCCCACCAAGGGUGUCUGGGCCUGUAGAAGAGUCAGUCACUCUUGAAUGAAAGAUAAAUGGCACUUCUGUUCCUCCUGGCAGCUGCGUUCCUGCUCCUGAGCCUGGCUGUAAGGCUGAGACCCAAGUGGAGAGCCGCCCUCGAGAUACCUCACGUCUUCUACACCUUUCUGUGCUGCUCAGAACCGAACAUCAAUUUUAUGGAGGAACAGUAAGUGGUCCCAUAUUGAGGAAGCCUGCACAGAUGGUCAUCAUGUACCUACUAGGUGCCAAGCAGUGAGCAACAGAAGAAUUCUUACCCUUUUGGAGAUUACAUUCUUACUGGAGAAGACAAGACAGUAAUAUACAUACAUAUAUGGACAUUUCAAGUCAUCUUAAGUGCUGAAAGAAA
Molecule: long non-coding RNA, 1738 nt
Organism: Leopardus geoffroyi (Geoffroy's cat)
Lineage: Eukaryota; Metazoa; Chordata; Mammalia; Carnivora; Felidae
Exons: 4
Source: RefSeq, a predicted model, not a curated record